GCAGCAGCAUAAGUUAAAGGCUAUUUAAAUAUAGUCCUUAUUUUGUAACGUGGGCACUGUGCUCCCAUUUUCAAACUGCCAAUGAACCACUGGGAAUUUUCAUUCUCUUGCUGAUUCUCUUUAAGACCUCCAUGAACAGCAGAGAAAACAUUUCCACUGUAAUAAAAACAGGGGUUUGUUUUCCUUUUUUAAAACUGAGGCACUGGGUAAAAUAAAGGUCAUUGCAACAACAUUUGAAAGAACAAAAAGAGUAAUUUUCCCCCUUUUGCUUUUUUACUGGUUUUCGAUGCAAUGUGAAAAAUCAUUUUUAAGUUUGCCCAUCUGUUUUACAUAAAACCUUAGCUGACCUUACACAAAGUGAAACAAAUGCACAAAAAGCUUUGCUGUUGGGUUCUUGCCAGCAGGACAGAAGAGAAAGAAAAGAAUACAUAAAGUUAGAUCCUGCUCUUGUGUAGAUUAGCCUAGCUCCAGUGGGGACUUGUGUUGAUUUAUACCGGCAGAGGCUCAGGCUUGUAUUUCUUAUAAAAACCAGACUUGUCAGACCCAGUCUUGAAACACUGAAAUCAUCUGAAGUUUUGAUACUGAUUUUUGUGGGAAAAAAAGUACACUCACUGAAGGAGCCGUGCUUAUUACAGGUAAACAGCACAUAUCCGUAUAGUCAGCGUGUGCUAUUGGGCAAAGUGAACUGUAAGAACACAGUGUAAGUAACUCUUUGAGAUUUGUGGAUGAGCAGGUGUGGUUUAAGGCUUGAAUUGUACCUCAGCUUUGUAUGCUUUGUGUACAUGACUGAGUUUGAGCCUUGUCUGAGGAAGCUAAGGAGCUCAUUUCACAUCAGUCUUGAAGCAAAGGGAUUCUCAGAACACGCAGAGCUAAUCACAGCAGGGUCAUAGGAGGCAGAUACGUUUGCAGGACUGAUGCAGAGCUCCAUUGCUCGAGGUGGAUCCUGAGGAAUAGUUGCUAUUUAUUGCAGCCCAAUGUAUUGGAAUUCAAAACCAAGGAGAUCGAUCAUCCUCGCAUCAGAUCUGAGGGCUUCUUAUCAAAUAAAAAAGCCUGCAGCAGCAGAAAGCAGUCCUACCUGCCAAGAUGAAGUGAAGACACAAAAGUGUUUUGAAGAAACAAAAUGGGAGACAGCCAUAGGACACAGGUCUCCUUAUAGUCAUGCCAAAACGUUUGGUACAUAGUAUGCAUUUUUUGCAGUGUGGUGGAACAAAGCAAUUAUUUCACAGCUGAAGGAAAACCAGAAGAUAUUUAAAAAUGGAAAGUUCCCUUCCCAAGCCAUAAUGGAUGACGACGGUAGUAGAAGUAAUAUAUUCAGAGGGACCAAAACAGGAUAACAAUUUUUCAGAAGCUGAAGAAAUAUAUGAGGGAAGAAGAGAGAUUGAUACAGCAGCAUUGGAACCAGCUUUGUCCUUGGAUUGCAAGGGAAUGGAGAAAUGAGGUGUCUUCACAGAUCUUUCUUAUGUGACCAAGUGGCAGAAAAUGCUGCAGAAAUCUACUUCAGACAGUUAAGUAUUCAGGUUACUGAAAGCUGUGUUUACUAUUUUUAUAUCUAUGGUUGUGAGCUAAGUAUUUUUUUUUUUUUUUUUUUUUUUGCCUGUUCACAUCCUUGCUGCCUGCAGAGCUUCCCAGUUGCUAGGCUGUGUUUAAUAUAUUAUUUUCCCAUUGAGACACCUAUGCUCCCUGUCACAUCUCUGUUGUCUCUUUUCAGUACUGUAUGAGCCCCAUCUCUGGCUUCUCUAAAUGUUAAAGACCUCUCUUCCAGUUAUUUAUACAGUAUUUAAAAUACGUCCCUUAGUAAUCUUGACUUCAUCAGCCUGACCCCUCUGAACCACCAUUCGCCCUUGGUUCAUCAAAUCAGGUUCAGCCUUCUUGCCUUUAGCUUAGGACAUUUUAAUUCUUUUUUUCUGCAUAAUGUCUGUUUCUGUCUCCUAUAUUGAGAUUUAUUAAAAUUAUUUAGCCAUUUUAAGAUGAAACCGUAUGUCUAGUUGAGUGUUCAAAAUCAGUGACUACCUAAUUCCCCCUGAGACUAACACUCAUUCAUUCUCCUCAUUAACUUAGCAAGAGGACUUAGAGUCCAGCAUUGCAGAUUGUCUCCAGGCUUUCAUGCCUGAACUUCUCUUUCACUGUUGGGGGCAUAGAUCCUUCCUCUUCUGAGGACAAAGAAAUUUGGUGUCAUCCAGUCUGUGGAGAAAGUUUGCUGCAACUUGGAAUGCUGUUCUACCAAACAAUUCCUUUCUUCCAUCUGCGACACAAUUUUUUAGGGUUUUCCGAUUAAUCCAAAUACUGAAGAUAUUAUAAAGCCACAGAAACUGCUUUAGGCCAAAGAUGGCAAUUACAGCUAAGAGCUAGAGCUAACUGAAAGGCUUCCUAUUUUUUAACAUUUUUCUGUGGCUUUUAAGAUCUUUUUGUGUCACUCUGGAAUGAAAACCAAGUGCACAAAGACUUUUGGCAAAAAUGGGACUUUGCAAAAUGUUCAUCUUUGGCUCCAGAAACCGUUUUUCUUCUACUCUCAUCUUCUAGGAAGCCUAUUGUAGAGCUUAGAAAUAAUCCUGUCAGAACUUCAUCAAAGCCAGUAUUUGUUUUCAAAAUGUUCUAGUUUUGGCAUAAUAUUAGUUGGAGAAGAAAGUAUUUAAUCCAAAAUUUUCUGACUAGUUCCAUAAAUGUCAUUACAUUAAUUAGGUACAUAAGUAACAGUAGCUGAAUUAGCUAUGUUUACACAUGUCUAGUCAUCUGAAAGAAUAUGAAGUCAGACAGGACUCAAGGGUUGGCUCAGUAAGUGUCAUAAAUUUUAGUAACCCCUGAUCUUGAUGCUCAGUAGAACACAUCUGUGAACAAAACUAAUUGAAACAUCAAGAAAAAGUCAAAACAAAUGAAAAGCAUUAGCAAAAAAAAAAAAAACAUUAUUAAUUUAGAGUAAUAUGUUAGGGUGAGUGGCAAAUUAAAUCGCUAUCCAAGUCCUGACACAGUUUUUUAUUUGAAACUAUAAUGUGAUUAUUGAUCAAAUGAAUUAAUUCUAUUUU
RNAcentral lists this long non-coding RNA (3020 nucleotides) under Gallus gallus (chicken). The record is from RNAcentral. Lineage: Eukaryota; Metazoa; Chordata; Aves; Galliformes; Phasianidae.